RNAcentral lists this ribosomal RNA (252 nucleotides) under uncultured bacterium. RNAcentral describes it as "partial 16S ribosomal RNA". It matches the Rfam family "Bacterial small subunit ribosomal RNA", at positions 355 to 600 of the family's 1533-position model. The record is from RNAcentral.
UGGGGAAUAUUGCACAAUGGGCGCAAGCCUGAUGCAGCCAUGCCGCGUGUGUGAAGAAGGCCUUAGGGUUGUAAAGCACUUUCAGCGAGGAGGAAGGCAUCAUACUUAAUACGUGUGGUGAUUGACGUUACUCGCAGAAGAAGCACCGGCUAACUCCGUGCCAGCAGCCGCGGUAAUACGGAGGGUGCAAGCGUUAAUCGGAAUACUGGGCGUAAAGCGCACGCAGGCGGUUUGUUAAGUCAGAUGUGAAAA